This 2902-nucleotide ribosomal RNA is filed under the name Klebsiella pneumoniae. RNAcentral's name for it is "23S ribosomal RNA". It matches the Rfam family "Bacterial large subunit ribosomal RNA". Lineage: Bacteria; Pseudomonadati; Pseudomonadota; Gammaproteobacteria; Enterobacterales; Enterobacteriaceae. The record is from RNAcentral.
GGUUAAGCGACUAAGCGUACACGGUGGAUGCCCUGGCAGUCAGAGGCGAUGAAGGACGUGCUAAUCUGCGAAAAGCGUCGGUAAGGUGAUAUGAACCGUUACAGCCGGCGAUGUCCGAAUGGGGAAACCCAGUGCAAUUCGUUGCACUAUCGUUAACUGAAUACAUAGGUUAACGAGGCGAACCGGGGGAACUGAAACAUCUAAGUACCCCGAGGAAAAGAAAUCAACCGAGAUUCCCCCAGUAGCGGCGAGCGAACGGGGAGCAGCCCAGAGUCUGAAUCAGCUUGUGUGUUAGUGGAACGGUCUGGAAAGUCCGACGGUACAGGGUGAUAGUCCCGUACACCAAAAUGCACAGGUUGUGAACUCGAAGAGUAGGGCGGGACACGUGGUAUCCUGUCUGAAUAUGGGGGGACCAUCCUCCAAGGCUAAAUACUCCUGACUGACCGAUAGUGAACCAGUACCGUGAGGGAAAGGCGAAAAGAACCCCGGCGAGGGGAGUGAAAAAGAACCUGAAACCGUGUACGUACAAGCAGUGGGAGCACCUUCGGGUGUGACUGCGUACCUUUUGUAUAAUGGGUCAGCGACUUAUAUUCUGUAGCAAGGUUAACCGUAUAGGGGAGCCGCAGGGAAACCGAGUCUUAACUGGGCGUUAAGUUGCAGGGUAUAGACCCGAAACCCGGUGAUCUAGCCAUGGGCAGGUUGAAGGUUGGGUAACACUAACUGGAGGACCGAACCGACUAAUGUUGAAAAAUUAGCGGAUGACUUGUGGCUGGGGGUGAAAGGCCAAUCAAACCGGGAGAUAGCUGGUUCUCCCCGAAAGCUAUUUAGGUAGCGCCUCGUGAAUUCAUCUUCGGGGGUAGAGCACUGUUUCGGCUAGGGGGUCAUCCCGACUUACCAACCCGAUGCAAACUACGAAUACCGAAGAAUGUUAUCACGGGAGACACACGGCGGGUGCUAACGUCCGUCGUGAAGAGGGAAACAACCCAGACCGCCAGCUAAGGUCCCAAAGUCAUGGUUAAGUGGGAAACGAUGUGGGAAGGCACAGACAGCCAGGAUGUUGGCUUAGAAGCAGCCAUCAUUUAAAGAAAGCGUAAUAGCUCACUGGUCGAGUCGGCCUGCGCGGAAGAUGUAACGGGGCUAAACCAUGCACCGAAGCUGCGGCAGCGACACUAUGUGUUGUUGGGUAGGGGAGCGUUCUGUAAGCCUGCGAAGGUGACCUGUGAGGGUUGCUGGAGGUAUCAGAAGUGCGAAUGCUGACAUAAGUAACGAUAAAGCGGGUGAAAAGCCCGCUCGCCGGAAGACCAAGGGUUCCUGUCCAACGUUAAUCGGGGCAGGGUGAGUCGACCCCUAAGGCGAGGCCGAAAGGCGUAGUCGAUGGGAAACAGGUUAAUAUUCCUGUACUUGGUGUUACUGCGAAGGGGGGACGGAGAAGGCUAUGUUAGCCGGGCGACGGUUGUCCCGGUUUAAGCAUGUAGGCUGGUUGUCCAGGCAAAUCCGGAUAAUCAAGGCUGAGGUGUGAUGACGAGGCACUACGGUGCUGAAGUAACAAAUGCCCUGCUUCCAGGAAAAGCCUCUAAGCAUCAGGUAACAUUAAAUCGUACCCCAAACCGACACAGGUGGUCAGGUAGAGAAUACCAAGGCGCUUGAGAGAACUCGGGUGAAGGAACUAGGCAAAAUGGUGCCGUAACUUCGGGAGAAGGCACGCUGGUGUGUAGGUGAAGUCCCUGCGGAUGGAGCUGAGACCAGUCGAAGAUACCAGCUGGCUGCAACUGUUUAUUAAAAACACAGCACUGUGCAAACACGAAAGUGGACGUAUACGGUGUGACGCCUGCCCGGUGCCGGAAGGUUAAUUGAUGGGGUUAUCCGUAAGGAGAAGCUCUUGAUCGAAGCCCCGGUAAACGGCGGCCGUAACUAUAACGGUCCUAAGGUAGCGAAAUUCCUUGUCGGGUAAGUUCCGACCUGCACGAAUGGCGUAAUGAUGGCCAGGCUGUCUCCACCCGAGACUCAGUGAAAUUGAACUCGCUGUGAAGAUGCAGUGUACCCGCGGCAAGACGGAAAGACCCCGUGAACCUUUACUAUAGCUUGACACUGAACAUUGAGCCUUGAUGUGUAGGAUAGGUGGGAGGCUUUGAAGCGUGGACGCCAGUCUGCGUGGAGCCAACCUUGAAAUACCACCCUUUAAUGUUUGAUGUUCUAACGUUGGCCCCUUACCGGGGUUGCGGACAGUGUCUGGUGGGUAGUUUGACUGGGGCGGUCUCCUCCCAAAGCGUAACGGAGGAGCACGAAGGUUAGCUAAUCCUGGUCGGACAUCAGGAGGUUAGUGCAAUGGCAUAAGCUAGCUUGACUGCGAGCGUGACGGCGCGAGCAGGUGCGAAAGCAGGUCAUAGUGAUCCGGUGGUUCUGAAUGGAAGGGCCAUCGCUCAACGGAUAAAAGGUACUCCGGGGAUAACAGGCUGAUACCGCCCAAGAGUUCAUAUCGACGGCGGUGUUUGGCACCUCGAUGUCGGCUCAUCACAUCCUGGGGCUGAAGUAGGUCCCAAGGGUAUGGCUGUUCGCCAUUUAAAGUGGUACGCGAGCUGGGUUUAGAACGUCGUGAGACAGUUCGGUCCCUAUCUGCCGUGGGCGCUGGAGAAUUGAGGGGGGCUGCUCCUAGUACGAGAGGACCGGAGUGGACGCAUCACUGGUGUUCGGGUUGUCAUGCCAAUGGCACUGCCCGGUAGCUAAAUGCGGAAGAGAUAAGUGCUGAAAGCAUCUAAGCACGAAACUUGCCCCGAGAUGAGUUCUCCCUGAGACUUUAAGUCUCCUGAAGGAACGUUGAAGACGACGACGUUGAUAGGCCGGGUGUGUAAGCGCAGCGAUGCGUUGAGCUAACCGGUACUAAUGAACCGUGAGGCUUAACCUU